GGCUCAAAUUUGAAGUAAAGUACGUUAGUGGGAUUGUCCGACCCUAUCAAAGUACUCUACUUCAAGUUUGUGCCC
Molecule: microRNA precursor, 75 nt
Filed under: Haemonchus placei
Lineage: Eukaryota; Metazoa; Nematoda; Chromadorea; Rhabditida; Trichostrongylidae
Description: mir-5928 microRNA precursor family
Rfam family: mir-5928 microRNA precursor family
Source: Rfam by way of RNAcentral